Molecule: ribosomal RNA, 421 nt
Filed under: uncultured bacterium
Lineage: Bacteria
Description: bacterial SSU rRNA
Rfam family: Bacterial small subunit ribosomal RNA
Source: RNAcentral
AUUGAAUUUUUGGCGGCAUGCCUUACACAUGCAAGUCGAACGGUAACAGGUCUUCGGAUGCUGACGAGUGGCGAACGGGUGAGUAAUACAUCGGAACGUGCCCGAUCGUGGGGGAUAACGGAGCGAAAGCUUUGCUAAUACCGCAUACGAUCUACGGAUGAAAGCAGGGGACCGCAAGGCCUUGCGCGGACGGAGCGGCCGAUGGCAGAUUAGGUAGUUGGUGGGAUAAAAGCUUACCAAGCCGACGAUCUGUAGCUGGUCUGAGAGGACGACCAGCCACACUGGGACUGAGACACGGCCCAGACUCCUACGGGAGGCAGCAGUGGGGAAUUUUGGACAAUGGGCGAAAGCCUGAUCCAGCCAUGCCGCGUGCAGGAUGAAGGCCUUCGGGUCGUAAAACUCUUUUCAAGGGAAAGAGGAA